Molecule: long non-coding RNA, 206 nt
Filed under: Mytilus galloprovincialis (Mediterranean mussel)
Lineage: Eukaryota; Metazoa; Mollusca; Bivalvia; Mytilida; Mytilidae
Source: RNAcentral
AUCGAAGUAGUUUCUUAAUGCUAACAGUGUUGAAGACUUUCUCAUUUUGAUAGGUCUUAAUUUCAUACGUUAAGAUGUAGUCGGGAAGAUAAAUUCGCUCUCAGCUCAUAUGGAAUAAUUAACUGACACCAUAUAUACCGUAUUAGGUCACUAGCACACUAUGUAACUUAUAAUACUUUACUUAUUGUUUAAUGUGACAGAGAGAC